This 1245-nucleotide ribosomal RNA is filed under the name uncultured Planctomycetota bacterium. RNAcentral's name for it is "bacterial SSU rRNA". It matches the Rfam family "Bacterial small subunit ribosomal RNA", at positions 212 to 1469 of the family's 1533-position model. The record is from RNAcentral. Lineage: Bacteria; Pseudomonadati; Planctomycetota.
AUAGUUCUUGAGAUACGGGGAAUGUCCUAUCAGGUAGUUGGUGAGGUAACGGCUCACCAAGCCAAAGACGGGUAGCGGGUGUGAGAGCAUGACCCGCCGCCAUCGGGACUGAGACACUGCCCGGACUCCUACGGGAGGCUGCAGUAACGAAUCUUCCGCAAUGCGCGAAAGCGUGACGGAGCAAUGCUCGCGUGCAGGAUGAAGCCCCUCGGGGUGUAAACUGCUGUCAGGGGUUACCACAACCGAGGAUCCCCAAAGGAAGAGCCGGCUAACUCUGUGCCAGCAGCCGCGGUAAUACAGAGGGCUCGAGCGUUAAUCGGAAUCACUGGGCUUAAAGCGUGCGUAGGCGGAGGCGUAAGUGUCUUGUGAAAUCCCACAGCUCAACUGUGGAACUGCGAGGCAUACUGCGUCUCUUGAGGUCGGUAGAGGUCGCCGGAACUGUAGGUGUAGCGGUGAAAUGCGUAGAUAUCUACAGGAACGCCAAUGGUGAAGACAGGCGACUGGGCCGAUUCUGACGCUCAGGCACGAAAGCGUGGGGAGCAAACAGGAUUAGAUACCCUGGUAGUCCACGCCGUAAACGAUGCAUACUAGAUUCGGGAGGUUCUGACACCAUCCGAAUCGUAGCAAAAGUGCUAAGUAUGCCGCCUGGGGAGUACGGUCGCAAGGCUAAAACUCAAAGGAAUUGACGGGGGCUCACACAAGCGGUGGAGCAUGUGGCUUAAUUCGAAGCAACGCGAAGAACCUUAUCCUGGGCUUGACAUGCAUGGAUUAACUCUCUGAAAGGAGAGCCACACUCGCAAGAGUGGAACAUGCACAGGUGCUGCAUGGCUGUCGUCAGCUCGUGCUGUGAAGUGUCGGGUUAAGUCCCUUAACGAGCGAAACCCCUGUCGUUAGUUGCCAGCGCGCCUUCGGGUGGCGGGAACUCUAACGAGACUGCCGGUGUCAAACCGGAGGAAGGUGGGGAUGACGUCAAGUCCUCAUGGCCUUUAUGCCCAGGGCUGCACACGUGCUACAAUGGCAUGUACAAAGCGAAGCAAUGCCGCAAGGUGGAGCAAAUCGCAUAAAGCAUGCCCCAGUUCAGAUUGUGGUCUGCAACUCGACCACAUGAAGUCGGAAUCGCUAGUAAUCGGGGAUCAGCUACGCCCCGGUGAAUAUGUUCCUGAGCCUUGUACACACCGCCCGUCAAGUCAUGGAAGCCGGAAAUACCCGAAGUCGCCCUAAUUCAAGGGUGCCGACGGUAGGUUC